GACGAACGCUGGCGGCGUGCUUAACACAUGCAAGUCGAGCGGUAAGGCCCUUUCGGGGGUACACGAGCGGCGAACGGGUGAGUAACACGUGGGUGACCUGCCCUCAGCUCUGGGAUAAGCCUGGGAAACCGGGUCUAAUACUGGAUAUGACUCCAUGACGCAUGUUGUGGGGUGGAAAGCCUUGUGCGGCUGAGGAUGGGCCCGCGGCCUAUCAGCUUGUUGGUGGGGUGAUGGCCUACCAAGGCGACGACGGGUAGCCGGCCUGAGAGGGCGACCGGCCACACUGGGACUGAGACACGGCCCAG
Molecule: ribosomal RNA, 305 nt
Filed under: uncultured bacterium
Lineage: Bacteria
Description: bacterial SSU rRNA
Rfam family: Bacterial small subunit ribosomal RNA
Source: RNAcentral